Molecule: ribosomal RNA, 457 nt
Filed under: uncultured microorganism
Description: bacterial SSU rRNA
Rfam family: Archaeal small subunit ribosomal RNA
Source: RNAcentral
GCGCAGCAGGCGAGAAACCUCCGCAAUGCUCGAAAGAGCGACGGGGGGACUCCAAGUGCCUACGCUCAGCGUAGGCUGUUCCCGAGCCUAAAAAGCUCGGGGAGUAAGGGCUGGGUAAGACGGGUGCCAGCCGCCGCGGUAAUACCCGCAGCCCGAGUGGUGGCCGCUAUUAUUGGGCCUAAAGCGUCCGUAGCCGGCUCGGUAAAUGCCUGGGUAAGUCGUCUGGCCCAACCAGACGAAUUCCGGGUAGACUGCCGGGCUAGGGACCGGAGGAGGGAGAGGGGUACUCCAGGGGUAGGGGCGAAAUCAGCAAGGUGAGUUGCUGAUGUAACUUGCCUUGCAAGUCACAAUCCUGUAAUCCCUGGAGGACCACCGGUGGCGAAGGCGCUCUCCUAGGACGGGUCCGACGGUGAGGGACGAAAGCCAGGGGAGCAAACCGGAUUAGAUACCCCGUAGU